Molecule: ribosomal RNA, 825 nt
Filed under: Triticum aestivum (bread wheat)
Lineage: Eukaryota; Viridiplantae; Streptophyta; Magnoliopsida; Poales; Poaceae
Description: partial small subunit ribosomal RNA
Source: RNAcentral
AUGAGCACACACGGGAUUGAGAGUAUGGAGGCGAAGAGGAGGAGGGGGGAGAAGUCCGCCACCAGCGAAGGCGCCGUCCCUCUAGAGGUGCUAGACUGUGCCUUCUGCUUCGAUCCCCUCAGGCCUCCUGUCUUUCAGUGUAGGGUCGGGCAUGUGAUAUGUUCCUCUUGCCAUCACAAGCUCCGGAAGAAGGACAAUUGCCAUGUGUGCGCCAUUACCGGAGGCUACAACCGCUGCAUCGCCUUUGACCACAUCCUCGAGUCUACUAAGGUCUCUUGCUCCAACUCCAUCUAUGGGUGCACCGUCAAGACACACUACUACCACCAAGAGGAACACAAGAAAUCAUGUCCGCAUGCGCCGUGCUUCUGCCCUGAGCCCGGUUGCGGCUUCGCAGGCUCAACCACCCAACUCCAGCGCCAUCUCACUGCCGAUCACAUGUUGCCCGCCACUGCGUUCGCGUAUGGAUAUUCUUUCACCCUUCAUAUGCAGGAAGGAAUGCGUGUACUCCACAGGAAAGAAGAAGGUGGACCCCUUUUCCUAGCAAAGUUCACGUUGGUGCCGCCUUUCGGCAAUGCUGUCUCCAUCUUGUGCAUUGAUCCUCAUGCUGUGACGGAGAAUCAUAGGUUCGAGUGUGAUGUUGAUUUCUACAGCCGCACCAUGGGAUGGCACCAACAUUCAAAUUUCCAGAUCAUAAGCACGAAUCUCUCCAACGGGUUCCCAGGGGAGGAGGCCAGCUAUACAUUUGUUGUACCAGAUAUUUCUUCCGACCCGCACACCACCACCACCCGCCUCCUCAUUCGCCCCCCAAAGAUAUCAUGUCCCUAA